GUCAAUUACCCACGACUGAAGUCGCGGGCUUGUGAAAACGAGUCCGGAGUUGAUUAGCCAAAGAUCUGCGGGAUCUACGUUGAGAGAGUCAUAACACCCAUGGACAUAUCACCUAAUCUGCGGCUCUGU
Molecule: small RNA, 129 nt
Filed under: bovine gut metagenome
Description: HNH endonuclease-associated RNA and ORF (HEARO) RNA
Rfam family: HNH endonuclease-associated RNA and ORF (HEARO) RNA
Source: RNAcentral